UACGGAAGGCAGCAGUAGGGAAUCUUCCGCAAUGGACGAAAGUCUGACGGAGCAACGCCGCGUGAACGAUGAAGGCUUUCGGGUCGUAAAGUUCUGUUGUUAGGGAAGAACAAGUACCGGAGUAACUGCCGGUACCUUGACGGUACCUAACCAGAAAGCCACGGCUAACUACGUGCCAGCAGCCGCGGUAAUACGUAGGUGGCAAGCGUUGUCCGGAAUUAUUGGGCGUAAAGCGCGCGCAGGCGGUCCUUUAAGUCUGAUGUGAAAGCCCACGGCUCAACCGUGGAGGGUCAUUGGAAACUGGGGGACUUGAGUGCAGAAGAGGAGAGUGGAAUUCCACGUGUAGCGGUGAAAUGCGUAGAGAUGUGGAGGAACACCAGUGGCGAAGGCGACUCUCUGGUCUGUAACUGACGCUGAGCGCGAAAGCGUGGGGAGCGAACAGGGAUUAGAUACC
RNAcentral lists this ribosomal RNA (454 nucleotides) under uncultured bacterium. Its description in RNAcentral is "bacterial SSU rRNA". It matches the Rfam family "Bacterial small subunit ribosomal RNA", at positions 340 to 786 of the family's 1533-position model. The record is from RNAcentral.